Molecule: ribosomal RNA, 492 nt
Filed under: uncultured bacterium
Lineage: Bacteria
Description: partial 16S ribosomal RNA
Rfam family: Bacterial small subunit ribosomal RNA
Source: RNAcentral
AGUGGACGCUGGCGGUAGGCCUAACACAUGCAAGUCGAACGGCAGCACAGUAAGAGCUUGCUCUUACGGGUGGCGAGUGGCGGACGGGUGAGGAAUACAUCGGAAUCUACUUUUUCGUGGGGGAUAACGUAGGGAAACUUACGCUAAUAACGCAUACGACCUACGGGUGAAAGCAGGGGAUCUUCGGACCUUGCGCGAUUGAAUGAGCCGAUGUCGGAUUAGCUAGUUGGCGGGGUAAAGGCCCACCAAGGCGACGAUCCGUAGCUGGUCUGAGAGGAUGAUCAGCCACACUGGAACUGAGACACGGUCCAGACUCCUACGGGAGGCAGCAGUGGGGAAUAUUGGACAAUGGGCGCAAGCCUGAUCCAGCCAUACCGCGUGGGUGAAGAAGGCCUUCGGGUUGUAAAGCCCUUUUGUUGGGAAAGAAAAGCAGCAGGUUAAUACCCCGCUGUUCUGACGGUACCCAAAGAAUAAGCACCGGCUAACUUCGUG